RNAcentral lists this ribosomal RNA (409 nucleotides) under uncultured Parvularcula sp. RNAcentral describes it as "bacterial SSU rRNA". It matches the Rfam family "Bacterial small subunit ribosomal RNA", at positions 408 to 814 of the family's 1533-position model. The record is from RNAcentral. Lineage: Bacteria; Pseudomonadati; Pseudomonadota; Alphaproteobacteria; Parvularculales; Parvularculaceae.
AUGAUGGCCUUACUUUUUUAAAACUCUUUCGCCGAGGACGAUAAUGACGGUACUCGGAAAAAUCUCCGGCUAACUUCGUGCCACAGCCGCGGUAAUACUAAGGGGGCUAGCGUUGUUUCAGAUUUACUGGGCGUAAAGCGCGUGUAGGCGGACUUGUAAGUUGGGGGGAAAAAUCCCGAGGCUCAACCUCGGAACUGCCUCCAAAACUACAAGUCUGGAGCAAGAUAGAGGCAAGUGGAAAUUGCGAGUGUAGAGGUGAAACUUCGUAGAUAAUUCGCAGGAACAACCAGUGUGCAGAAGGCGAACUUUGCUGGGAUCUUUGCUGACGCUUGAAUACCCGAAAGCCUUGGGGAGCAAAACAAGGAUUUAAGAUACCCUUGAUUAGUUCCACGCUGUUAAAACGAAUGAG